RNAcentral lists this ribosomal RNA (233 nucleotides) under uncultured bacterium. RNAcentral's name for it is "partial 16S ribosomal RNA". It matches the Rfam family "Bacterial small subunit ribosomal RNA", at positions 118 to 346 of the family's 1533-position model. The record is from RNAcentral.
UGAGGAACAUGACCUUCGGCGGGGGAUAGCCGGCCCAACGGCCGGGUAAUACCGCGUACGACCACAUGGGGACAUCCCUGAGUGGUGAAAGCAGCAAUGCGCCGAUGGAGUGCCUCGCGGCCUAUCAGCUAGUUGGUGAGGUAACGCUCACCAAGGCGACGACGGGUAGCUGGUCUGAGAGGAUGAUCAGCCACACGUGGGACUGAGACCACGGCCCAGAUCCCGUAACGGGG